This 468-nucleotide ribosomal RNA is filed under the name uncultured bacterium. RNAcentral's name for it is "partial 16S ribosomal RNA". It matches the Rfam family "Bacterial small subunit ribosomal RNA", at positions 28 to 507 of the family's 1533-position model. The record is from RNAcentral.
GACGAACUCUGGCGGCGUGCUUAACACAUGCAAGUCGAACGGAAAGGCCCUGCUUUUGUGGGGUGCUCGAGUGGCGAACGGGUGAGUAACACGUGAGUAACCUGCCCUUGACUUUGGGAUAACUUCAGGAAACUGGGGCUAAUACCGGAUAGGAGCUCCUGCUGCAUGGUGGGGGUUGGAAAGUUUCGGCGGUUGGGGAUGGACUCGCGGCUUAUCAGCUUGUUGGUGGGGUAGUGGCUUACCAAGGCUUUGACGGGUAGCCGGCCUUAGAGGGUGACCGGCCACAAUGCGACUGAGAUACGGACCAGACGCCUACGGGAGGCAGCAGUGGGGAAUAUUGCACAAUGGGCGGAAGCCUGAUGCAGCAACGCCGCGUGCGGGAUGACGGCCUUUGGGUUGUAAACCGCUUUCGCCUGUGACGAAGCGUGAGUGACGGUAAUGGGUAAAGAAGCACCGGCUAACUACGUG